RNAcentral lists this small RNA (100 nucleotides) under Flavobacterium aquicola. RNAcentral describes it as "Flavo-1 RNA". Lineage: Bacteria; Pseudomonadati; Bacteroidota; Flavobacteriia; Flavobacteriales; Flavobacteriaceae. The record is from RNAcentral.
GCAUAGCCCUGAUGGAAGCGUCAUCUCCCGAUUUAGAAAAACAAGGCUUUUUUGCCGUAGUUUUUGUUAAUCGGGAAUACAGUGGACAGCAGGUGAAAUG